RNAcentral lists this ribosomal RNA (505 nucleotides) under Anopheles gambiae (African malaria mosquito). RNAcentral's name for it is "eukaryotic large subunit ribosomal RNA". It matches the Rfam family "Eukaryotic large subunit ribosomal RNA", at positions 1456 to 1888 of the family's 3401-position model. Lineage: Eukaryota; Metazoa; Arthropoda; Insecta; Diptera; Culicidae. The record is from RNAcentral.
GGUAGUAGCAAAUAUUCGAACGAGCUCUUGGAUGACUGAAGUGGAGAAGGGUUUCGUGUCAACAGCAGUUGAACACGAGUUAGCCAAUCCUAAGCCGCAUGGGAAUCCAGUCGUAACCCAUCAGUCGGCGAAAGGGAAUCCGGUUACCAUUCCGGAGCCUGUUGAGUACCCGUUUGCGCCACCUAGUAGGGUUUAGCUCGUCCGCACCCGAACGGUUAGUGUGUAGCUUCAUGGCAACAUGAAUCCUUUUCUUCGAGAAGCCAACGAGAGGCAUCGGAAGAGUUUUCUUUUCUGUUUUACAGCCACACCGACCAUGGAAGUCACUCACAGAGAGAUAUGGUUGGACCGGUCUGGUAGAGCACGGCCGCCGCAACUGCCGUGUCGAUGCACUCUUCUUGGACCGUGAAAAUCGAAGACUGGGGCACACUUUAUAUGGUAAUAACGCACACUCUCAACAGAUUGUACCGAAUCCGCAGCAGGUCUCCAAGGUGCAGAGUCUCUAGUC